AACAACUAACUAAUCAAAUGGACUCUCCUAGACACGUUAUUACAAUUGAACCCCAAAACAAAAAACCCUUACAAUGAACCAAAAAUCCCUUACCAAUCAGUCCCAUUUCACUACUACUUAUUUAUUUCUUCUACUGAGCGAUCCCUCCUUACAGUUCACAACAAUGCUCUCCCCUUCGAACAACCGUGUCCUCAAGAGGUCACCACAACGUUACUGGAUGAUGAAGACUCUAAUGAGAUUGGAGUUCUUGGAGAGGCAUUGGACUAGAAUUGAGGUAUACAAUCCCGGCUUCAAGACACUUCCGCAGAGGCAUAUUUGAGUCCUCUUGGUGUAGGACUUAUUAUUUUAUUCAUUCAAUUUUUAUAUAAAUUCUUUUAGUAUUUUAGAUUAGAUGUGUCUUUGAACACGUUAUUGAAAUGCAUAUUCAUUAUAUUUUAAAUUUAUAAGUCUUAUUUAUUUCUUGUUCUCAGCAUUUGCAUUCAAUAAAUGACUUUCAUCACCCUGGGAUGUCGGCUGGCAUGUACCUACACUGGUAUUCGGGAAAUAUCAGGAUCGGGGCAUGUUAGAUUGGUAUCAGAGCUUGGUUUGUUUAGAGCAUACUUAGGAUCUUCUCUUACUAUAGUAGUGUGUCAGUCAUGACAUCAUUUGGGUGUCACAACUUUCGGAAUUGUUGUCUUUUGGCACGGUUGUGCAAUCUUCAUCAUGCUAUGAAUUGUCACAUCCUAUUGAAGGAGACGAACUCGUGUCCGGAUUGUGCCUCAUCAGUGACAUGUUUGAUUUGUUGAACGACUUUCAAUAUAAGACGAUACCCUACGACGUGCAUUCCCUGGGGAAUGGCGGGCAUAGUCGGUGUUACUUGGAAGAGACGUGUUUUAGAAAUCUUAGUGUGAGGAAGUUUGGUCAAGACUAUCUGUAGAUCUGAAAUGGCGAUGCCACUCUGCAACACGCGUUUCCUAGGAAUUGCGGGCGGAGUAGGCUCUACAACAAAAUCUUGGGAAACGGAAGAAUCUUGGCGGUACGAGUUGGUUAAGAUCAACUAGAAACUUGAAACAGUGAUAUCACUCUGCGACAUGCGUUCCCUAGGAAUGGCGGGCAUAGUCAUAUCUUAGUGACCAGGUGGGCACCGUGGAUCCAAAUGUCUAUGGCAGGCUCCAAACCAUAUAUCAUAGCCUCCUAGCUGCUUAUACCAUUUGAUUUUCCCAGUGUCCAAAUCAAGAGCUACCAUGGAUUCGGAGUGGUUUUCGGGCUCAAUGCAGGCCUCUGGAUGAGAAGGUACUAUCUGAUUGUUUUCCUUCUCCUGGCAUUCAAUUAUCCGCGGAGGAGCUGAGUACAGGUUCGAUGUGGCAACGAAGACAAGGUUCCGAGGGACAUCAAUGGAAGGGCUGCUUCCCCAUAUUGCUGCUCCUGCAUACUCAUUAAACUUGCCGAAAUUGUCAGGCAACAUGAAGGUCUGCCACAGGAUUUUGCCCGUUCGGACGUCUAAUUUCGAUACGCUCCCACGAAACGUACAGCAUUGUUCGAUGGUGAGUCCUUCUAGUGACAAUGUUCCAACAUAGUAACCACUACAAGAAAUUGAAAUGUAGUGCCAUAAAAUUACAUUAAUACAACUCUUUGUGAUUUAAAGAUUGAUUAAUUACAAUGCAGAUUACAUUUUUUCUAGCAGAGUACAUGUGAUGAGAAUUAAAAUUACAAAAAAUUAGGAGAAGUGCUAUCCACAUACAUUUUUUUACUUUCCAUACAUUCUCAAUUUUCAGAUGUCGGAUUGAAUAAAAUAAAAAAUUUAAAAUAACAAAGAGUAUGUGAGAAAUAAAAAAUAAAAAAUAUGCGGAUAGCACCACAGAAAUUAAAUGUUUUCUUGAUAGGAUUAAAACAUUGUCAUAAACCUUAAAAAAAAAAAAAAAAAAAAAAAAAUUCUCGGAAGUCAAGUUGCCAACAAGUCUUAACAUAUUUGUAUUGUUGAUUAACAUAUGCAGAAACUACAGUGUGAAUAAAAAAAAGACUUUGGAUUAUUAGAAAUUGGCAUAUUACUUAAAGAGUAAUGCUAGGGAAACUAAAUUUACAAACUAAAUGAUGUGUCAUCAAUAAGAAUAAACACGUUUAUAAACGUGUAAGUAAUAAACCAAUCAUUAACUUCCAUAUCUUUUAAUUUUCAAAAAUUUAUCUAUAAAUUUGAUCUUCUUAGUAUUACUCUUACUUAAAGGCAUAAAAAAUUGUUAUACUUCUAUCCUAGCAGAACAAAAAUAGCCAAGAAGCACGUGGUGUUGCUUAUCUUGUUGCUAACUUCUUGUUUCCAAGUAACACCAUUGACUGACUCAUAAGUUAUUAAUAUUAUAAUGAGUAUGAGGGAGACUCCAUGCGAGCUAGGUUUACGACUCUGUAUUCAGGAUAAGGAAGUACUUCUGUUCAUAAGUAUUUUCGUUGGCGAUGCUUUUGUUAGAAACACACACAGAGUCGUUCCAGGGGGAGACUGAACCAAAAUUCAUCCAAAAUUCGUCCUGUGAGACAACUUGUUCCACCCGUUUUAGGCGCACCAAACGUGAGACGGAACAUCUCGUCCCACUUCAUUUCGUCCCGUCCCACGUACCAAAUGGUACCUAACAUAACUCUGUUAACUUUUAAUAAUUUUAAAAAAUAAAUAAUAAAAAGUAAAUUAAAACCAGGCGUAGAGUCCCCUGAGUUCUUGCAAACCACAAAACAAUUGACCUCAAAUCCUAAUGAAAGAUCAAAUUCCAAAUUUCCAUCCCAAUUUUCCCUAGGAACAAACUGAAAAUUCUCUUUCCGGGAAGUCAAAGAAGCGGAAAAGAAAAGCAUCGCCGCUUCGUCGGCAGUGGGUGAGGUUGAUAGGACCCAGACCUGCAAUGACAGCUAUGGCGAUGGAACGUAAGGAAAAGGGUCGGGAGGGAAGGAAGAAUAUUCUAUUGAUUAAUUCAACAAUGCCCAUACAAUUUUCCUUGGCCACCAUACAUGUGUGCCAGCUGGAAACAACUAACUAAUCAAAUGGACUCUCCUAGACACUUACGUUAUUACAAUUGAACCCCAAAACAAAAAACCCUUACAAUGAACCAAAAAUCCCUUACCAAUCAGUCCCAUUUCACUACUACUUAUUUAUUUCUUCUACUGAGCGAUCCCUCCUUACGGUUCACAACAAUGCUCUCCCCUUCGAACAACCGUGUCCUCAAGAGGUCACCACAACGAUACUGGAUGAUGAAGACUCUAAUGACAUUGGAGUUCUUGGAGAGGCAUUGGUAUCUUCAACCUUCACAGCUAGUACAUCGAUUUUAAUUGUGCAAAAAAGUGAAUUUGCUCAUGAUUCAUGAUUGAGGGAGUGAAUGGGACUAUGUCGUGGGAGCAGAGCUCAGUUGAAGUACAAAAACCCACGAUACAUAGCACAACUCCCUCUCUCUCUCCCCCCUUUGAAUUGCUUUUUCCUUGUUCCUCAGAAACCUAAAAAUUGUAGAUCUGUUUGUUAUUUGGAUUGUGAUAUAUACCCAGUGAGCUUACAUGAUAAAUUUGAUUCAACAAUUAAACAACUGUGAAUAACGAAUGCAAAAUAAACAGACC
Molecule: long non-coding RNA, 3561 nt
Organism: Pyrus x bretschneideri (Chinese white pear)
Lineage: Eukaryota; Viridiplantae; Streptophyta; Magnoliopsida; Rosales; Rosaceae
Exons: 2
Source: RefSeq, a predicted model, not a curated record